CCUACGGGUGGCAGCAGUGAGGAAUAUUGGUCAAUGGGCGGAAGCCUGAACCAGCCAAGUAGCGUGCAGGAUGACGGCCCUACGGGUUGUAAACUGCUUUUAUACGGGAAUAACGCGCCUUACGUGUAGGGCUUUGCAUGUACCGUAUGAAUAAGGACCGGCUAAUUCCGUGCCAGCAGCCGCGGUAAUACGGAGGGUCCGGGCGUUGUCCGGCUUUAUUGGGUUGAAAGGGCGCGGCGGCCGCAUGUCAAGCGUGCUGUGAAAUGUCCGGGCUCAACCCGGGCCUUGCAGCGCGAACUGGCGUGCUUGAGUCCGCGGAAAGCAGGCGGAAUGCGUCGUGUAGCGGGGAAAUGCUUAGAUAUGACGAAGAACCCCGAUUGCGAAGGCAGCUUGCUGCAGCGGAACUGACGCUGAUGCUCGAAAGCGCGGGUAUCGAACAGGAUUAGAUACCCCUGUAGUC
This 460-nucleotide ribosomal RNA is filed under the name uncultured bacterium. RNAcentral describes it as "partial 16S ribosomal RNA". It matches the Rfam family "Bacterial small subunit ribosomal RNA", at positions 338 to 795 of the family's 1533-position model. The record is from RNAcentral.